GUGCUGUGGAACACGUCGGUCAUGCGUGAAUUCUCCCAAAAUGGGACUAGUACCGUUAGUUUGCGUGUUAUUCGUGGCAAUAUCGCCAAUCUAUUGUGACACAGAGAAUCCACGCUUAUUAAAACUGUCAUGUGAUGGAAAACCACUCAAGUUAUCAGAGUAUCCAAGAGAGGUCAGCAUCGAACGCACCACUACCGAUACAGUUUUCAAUUCGAAAUCUUUAGAAUCCCCUCUAAUCCUCAAUCAAAAUGACAUAUUCAACAUCAAGAUCCACAACUGCACAUUUAACAACCCGGAUUAUCUAUAUUUUAACUAUAACUUCAAAGAUUUCCGUAAUCUGGAUGUGCUGCACAUCAUCAACACAUCGCUUGAAAUGUUUGACUUCAAUGUAAUAGAAAAUAACAAAGAAUUACGAGAGUUAUCAUUGGCUGAUAACAACAAUUUGAGAGAGUUAAUCAACGCAAAUAGUGGUCGCAUGAUACAAACUUUAAAAUUGACGAAUACAAACCUGGAAAUGAAAAAGUUUCUGGAGAAUAUUAGACCAAUGCUUACAAAUGGCAAUUUAACCAACUUGGAUAUAAGUGGACAGAGUGGAAGUAUUGAAAAUGACGAAGUAUGUAAGCUGUCUGAAAAACUCGAAUGGUUUAAUGGAGAAAAAUGUAUUGACAUACGAAAUAUAACAUCCAAAAGCAUCAUUGAUAUUGACAUUGAUAACGAAUCGAACAAAAUAUUUUCAUCAAUAUUUUUGAUAACUGCUGUUAUUUUGACGAUCAAAUAUUUAUGUACUUAAAUUUAAUUUAAUGUUUUAACUGUAUUUGGUAAAUUUCCCGCUAAAUUUUAUUCGCUUAUCAAUUUUUACACUUUUUUCAUAUUUACUUAUUGCUUAUUCUUCAUUUAUCUAAUGAUAAACUGUACUUGUAUGUUUUACUCGUAUAUUCGAAGAUAAAAAAUCAUAAUCCGUAAAAUGUCAAUUUUUUGUUUUGUGGACAAUUAUUUGACAAUUUUAUAUUGUAGUUUUUGUAUUCUGCGUUGUUUUUAAGGCGUUUAGCCACGGUAAUGUGCUCCGCGAGUGUAAUUUGCGAAUUAACCACUUUGCGUGCUUUUUAUUUCUAUUUUACAAACUAAAAACGCACUUAUUUCCACAUUUGGCAUCUGUUCGUCCAAAUUUAUCAUGGAAAAAUACUAAAAUACACAAAAUAAACACGAUUAAAGUAAAA
Long non-coding RNA from Dalotia coriaria, 1217 nucleotides. RefSeq lists it as uncharacterized. Lineage: Eukaryota; Metazoa; Arthropoda; Insecta; Coleoptera; Staphylinidae. The transcript has 2 exons. The record is from RefSeq and is a predicted model, not a curated record.